CCUACGGGAGGCAGCAGUGGGGAAUAUUGGACAAUGGGGGGAACCCUGAUCCAGCCAUGCCGCGUGUGUGAAGAAGGCCCUCGGGUUGUAAAGCACUUUUAGUGAGGAAGAACGCCUGGUGGUUAAUACCCAUCAGGAAAGACAUCACUCACAGAAGAAGCACCGGCUAACUCCGUGCCAGCAGCCGCGGUAAUACGGAGGGUGCGAGCGUUAAUCGGAAUUACUGGGCGUAAAGCGCGCGUAGGUGGCUUGAUAAGCCGGUUGUGAAAGCCCCGGGCUCAACCUGGGAACGGCAUCCGGAACUGUCAAGCUAGAGUGCAGGAGAGGAGGGUAGAAUUCCCGGUGUAGCGGUGAAAUGCGUAGAGAUCGGGAGGAAUACCAGUGGCGAAGGCGGCCUUCUGGACUGACACUGACACUGAGGUGCGAAAGCGUGGGUAGCAAACAGGAUUAGAUACCCUUGUAGUC
Molecule: ribosomal RNA, 465 nt
Filed under: Vreelandella stevensii
Lineage: Bacteria; Pseudomonadati; Pseudomonadota; Gammaproteobacteria; Oceanospirillales; Halomonadaceae
Description: partial 16S ribosomal RNA
Rfam family: Bacterial small subunit ribosomal RNA
Source: RNAcentral